GACGAACGCUGGCGGCGUGCCUAAUACAUGCAAGUCGAACGCAGUGGGGACGGGUGAGUAACACGUGGGUAACCUCCCAUCAGAGGGGAUAACACUUGGCAAAAGGUGCUAACACGAUCCGGAUGGAUGGACCCGCGGUGCCUUAGCUAGUUGGUGAGGUAACGGCUCACCAAGGCCACGAUGCAUAGCCUACCUGAGAGGGUUGUCGGCCACACUGGGACUAAGGCCCGGCCCAGACUCCUACGGUAGGCAGCAGUAGGGAAUCUUCGGCAAUGGGCGAAAGGCUGACCGAGGAACGCCGCGUGAGUGAAGAAGGUUUUCGGAUCGUAAAACUCUGUUGUAAGAGAAGCGGUAUCUAACCGGAGAGCCACGGCGAACUACGUGCCAGCCGCCGCGGGAAUUG
RNAcentral lists this ribosomal RNA (403 nucleotides) under uncultured bacterium. RNAcentral describes it as "partial 16S ribosomal RNA". It matches the Rfam family "Bacterial small subunit ribosomal RNA", at positions 28 to 527 of the family's 1533-position model. The record is from RNAcentral.